CAGCCGCCGCGGUAAUACGAAGGGGGCUAGCGUUGCUCGGAAUUACUGGGCGUAAAGCGCACGUAGGCGGACCGAUAAGUCGGGAGUGAAAUCCUGGAGCUCAACUCCAGAACUGCCUUCGAAACUGCCGGUCUUGAGUUCGGGAGAGGUGAGUGGAACUGCGAGUGUAGAGGUGAAAUUCGUAGAUAUUCGCAAGAACACCAGUGGCGAAGGCGGCUCACUGGCCCGAUACUGACGCUGAGGCGCGAAAGCGUGGGGAGCAAACAGGAUUAGAGACCCGCGUAGUCCCUGUCUCUUAUAC
Molecule: ribosomal RNA, 301 nt
Filed under: uncultured bacterium
Lineage: Bacteria
Description: partial 16S ribosomal RNA
Rfam family: Bacterial small subunit ribosomal RNA
Source: RNAcentral